Microcebus murinus (gray mouse lemur) is the source of this 1108-nucleotide non-coding RNA. NCBI's taxonomy places the organism in Eukaryota, Metazoa, Chordata, Mammalia, Primates, Cheirogaleidae. The record is from RefSeq and is a predicted model, not a curated record.
AUAAGGAAAAAUUCCCACAUAAGCCUAUCAAAGUGAAAUUAUAAAAUAUUUAACAAAAAAGGAACCAUCUUAAGGGCUACUAGAGAAGAUUGAUAACGUACAGGAAGGGAAAAAAAAGACUAUAUUGAUAGUAGAGUUCUCUUUAGUAAAAUAAGUCCCGAGAUAACUGUAAUAUUUAGUAUUGAAAAAAAUUAAACAAGAACUAAGUAAUCAACUGAGAUUGUAUCAUUGACUCAUUUCAUGUAUUGUCACUUCUCAUGAGACAAAGAUACUGCCCCACUCCAUUGACACAAGGCCAAUGAAACAGAGGGGAAGUGACAUGUACCCCUUAAAGCAGAAACUUUAACAUACAGUUUGGAUCUUGCCUUGGUCUUUCUUUUUUGCCACAAAAAUGACAAUGUUCCAGACUGGGACUGCUCUAAUUCCCAUUCUGAUUCCUAAAAUGAGUAGACAUGAGCAGUUGACAUGUAGCCAACAAUUUAAUGGGAGCAGAAAAUACACCUUGGUUGUUACAUGCAUAGCAAAAAAGGCAAAAUAAAGAUGUUUCCAGACACACACUAAGAGAAUUUACUAAUCACUGACCAUCACUAAAAAGAAAUAAAAAAGAUUAUUAAAGGAUCUAUUUCAAUAUAUAAAAAAAAGGAAAACGAGUAUAUCAUGAGAUAUAAGAAAUGGAGGAUUUUUAUCAAUGAGAGGAUUUUACUUCAGUGAGAGGAUGAACUUGGUAAUCUUUAUAUGAAUUUGACAGUUAUCUUGAGCUAUCAGAGAAGUAUAACAUUCAGUUGUUUUUCUAUCUUUCUUUUAAAUUCUAAACCAGAGAAACCUUACUUAAUCCAAUAGGUCACCAGAGGAAUGACUACAAUCAUUUGGUGAUUCUCUAGGAUGUUGUAAAUAAUCAGAUCAAACACAGACCCUGAAAGAGUGUAGGGAGGGGUAUGUCAUAGACAAUGACUUCCAGCAUUUUAUCUGAAGGGCCAGUGGAGCAAGUACACACCUUUGGAGUUGAACCAAAUGAAAUUGCAGUUUUUGGAGGUCAAAACAGUUCAACCGAAGUUCCAAGAAGAUUCAAAAUUAGGAUAUGAUAAUUAAAACUAAAUGAGUUUUUUAA